This 546-nucleotide long non-coding RNA is filed under the name Homo sapiens (human). RNAcentral's name for it is "HSALNT0315965". Lineage: Eukaryota; Metazoa; Chordata; Mammalia; Primates; Hominidae. The record is from RNAcentral.
AGAGAUGGGUUUCUGGACUCGCGAAGCAGCUGCAACAAGGCAUCACUCACUGUAUAAGUAUUUCCAUUUCUGAGAGCAAAAGGAAGAACUUAAGCGGGCGGCACUUGGAGUGUAAAUUGCUUUGUAGUAUUUAAAGGCAGAAUGGAUCCUGGGCAGCCGAGCUGAUCAUGAGGUUCCUGAGGCCUCCUAGCCAUGCUUCCUGUGCAGCCUAUGGAACUCAACAAACCGGCAGGACUUCCUGUGAAAUCAUGACCACCAUGUGCUCUUUCAGCCUCUAUCAGUUCCUACCUCUAAGCACCUGAGAGCCAAAGCAAACCACAGGAAACCACAGAAUGAAAGCCAAGCAUAUUCCAUCAUUUCCUAAAACCAAGAUAGAGCACAUAUGGGAACUUGUGAAAUAAGGAUGCCCUGCGGUUGUUUUCAGGACUGAAGACAACAGCUCCACGAUGUAUCUUUGCAUAAGAAUACACUUGUAUAAUAAGUUUUUUUUUUUAGAGAAAUUGCAUGUAUCUGCCUUAUAAACUUUUUCAUUCAUUCAUUUUCUUU